UGCCAAAGGCAUCGCUGGGUAGCUAUGUGCGGAAGGGAUAAGUGCUGAAAGCAUCUAAGCAUGAAGCCCCCCUCGAGAUGAGAUUUCCCAUCACUUUAUGUGAGUAAGAUCCCUGAAAGAUGAUCAGGUAGAUAGGUCUGAGGUGGAAGCGUGGCGACACGUGCAGCUGACAGAUACUAAUCGAUCGAGGACUUAACCAC
RNAcentral lists this ribosomal RNA (200 nucleotides) under Rossellomorea vietnamensis. RNAcentral's name for it is "Bacillus vietnamensis partial 23S ribosomal RNA". It matches the Rfam family "Bacterial large subunit ribosomal RNA", at positions 2727 to 2925 of the family's 2925-position model. Lineage: Bacteria; Bacillati; Bacillota; Bacilli; Caryophanales; Bacillaceae. The record is from RNAcentral.